This 973-nucleotide ribosomal RNA is filed under the name uncultured marine microorganism HF200_10-06-02. RNAcentral describes it as "bacterial SSU rRNA". It matches the Rfam family "Archaeal small subunit ribosomal RNA", at positions 88 to 1068 of the family's 1478-position model. The record is from RNAcentral.
GCUCAGUAACAGGUGGGUAACUGCCCUAUGGUGGGGAAUACCCUCGGAAACUAGGAUAAUGCCCCAUAGUUCACCACACUGGAACGGUGGGUGGAUGAAAGCUCCGGCGGCAUAGGAUGGGCCUGCGGCGUAUCAGGUUGUAGGGGGGUGUAAUGUACCCUCUAGCCAUCUACGCGUACGGGUGUUGAGAGACAUCGCCCGGAGAUGGAUUCUGAGACACGAAUCCAGACCCUACGGGGUGCAGCAGGCGCGAAAACUUGGCAAUGCGAGCAAUCGUGACCAGGGAACUCCAAGUGCAUCGGGUAAGACCGAUGCUUUUCUUGACUCUUCAAAGGUCUUGGAAUAAGGGGUGGGUAAGGACGGUGCCAGCCGCCGCGGUAAUACCGGCGCCUCAAGUGGUAGUCGCUUUUAUUGGGCCUAAAACGUCCGUAGCCGGUUUGGUACAUUCGUGGGUAAAUCAAGACGCUCAACGUCUUGAAUUCUGCGAGCACGGCCAGACUUGGGACCGGGUGAGGUGUGGGGUACUCUCAGGGUAGGGGUAAAAUCCUGUCAUCCUGAGAGGACCACCUGUUGCGAAGGCGCCACACUAGAACGGAUCCGACGGUCAGGGACGAAGCCUAAAACACGAACCGGAUUAGAUACCCGGGUAGUCCUAGGUGUAAACGCUGUGGACUUGAUGUUGGGAGUGCUCCGAGCACCAUCAGUGUCGAAGCGAAGGUGAUAAGUCCACUGCCUGGGGAGUACGGUCGCAAGGCUGAAACUUAAAGGAAUUGGCGGGGGAGCACUGCAACCUGAGGAUUGUGCGGUUUAAUUGGAUUCAACGCCGGAAAACUCACCAUAGCCGACGGACAUAAGAAGGCCAGCGUAACGAGCUUGCCGGAUUGUUCGAGAGGUAGUGCAUGGCCGUCGUCAGUUCGUNCCGCCGAAAAAUCGUUNAGUCNGNUNNCGNNCGAGACCCUCNUCCCUNGAUGAA